RNAcentral lists this ribosomal RNA (472 nucleotides) under uncultured organism. Its description in RNAcentral is "partial 16S ribosomal RNA". It matches the Rfam family "Bacterial small subunit ribosomal RNA", at positions 332 to 796 of the family's 1533-position model. The record is from RNAcentral.
UACACUCCUACGGGAGGCAGCAGUGGGGAAUAUUGCCCAAUGGGCGCAAGCCUGAUGCAGCCAUGCCGCGUGUAUGAAGAAGGCCUUCGGGUUGUAAAGUACUUUCAGCGGGGAGGAAGGCGAUAAGGUUAAUAACCUUGUCGAUUGACGUUACCCGCAGAAGAAGCACCGGCUAACUCCGUGCCAGCAGCCGCGGUAAUACGGAGGGUGCAAGCGUUAAUCGGAAUUACUGGGCGUAAAGCGCACGCAGGCGGUCUGUCAAGUCGGAUGUGAAAUCCCCGGGCUCAACCUGGGAACUGCAUUCGAAACUGGCAGGCUAGAGUCUUGUAGAGGGGGGUAGAAUUCCAGGUGUAGCGGUGAAAUGCGUAGAGAUCUGGAGGAAUACCGGUGGCGAAGGCGGCCCCCUGGACAAAGACUGACGCUCAGGUGCGAAAGCGUGGGGAGCAAACAGGAUUAGAAACCCGAGUAGUCC